AGUUUCAUUUGCAGUUCGUAUGAAACUACUGACCGCGAUCUUCUCGGUUUAUUAUCAGAUAUUUUUUUAACUCUUCUGCGAAACUGGAAUAUCGCGAUUUUACAAUUCAUUUUGUGACAAGCUAGUACAUCUGACGGCUGCGAAUAGAAGAUAUACAGACAAGCAAUUAUGGAUCGUUGGCUUGGUAAAACCGCAGUCGUUACCGGCGCUGGAUCCGGCAUGGGCGAAGCAAUUACACGUGCUCUUCUGCGAAACGGAGUGAAUGUGGUUGCUCUGGAAGUCCUGAAAGAAAGAUUAGCAAAACUUGAUGCGGAUUGUAAGCGAGAACGUUUCCCGGGCAGAUUAUAUACUAUAUGCUGCAACGUAUCUCGCGAGGACGAGAUCGAUGCAGCAUUCUUGCAAAUUGAAACGUUCGGUGGUGUGGAUAUUAUGGUCAACAAUGCUGGCAUUAUUGAGGUAUCACGAAUAAUAGAUAGCAACAGGAAGACAUUUGAAAAGAUAUUAAAUACUAAUGUUCUCGCAGUCGCAGUAUGUAUGAAUAAAGCAGUUAAUUCGAUGCGCAAGCGAAACAGUGAAGGACAUAUUUUCAAUAUCAACAGUAUUGUGAGCCAUCACAGAAUACCGAACGAUUUGUUUGAAUGUAAUAUGUAUUUCUCUAGUAAACAUGCAUCUCUUGCUCUGACUAACACAGUGCGACGUGAAGUAGGAAAAAUUAAGGCACCUAUUCGAGUUACUGGCAUUAGUCCUGGUACUGUAAAAACAAAUAUAGUUGCGCAUGACGAUAGUUUGAAAAACUUUUUUGAGAAAGCACAGUAUAUUCUACCGGAGGACAUAGCGGAUGCGAUCAUUUAUGCUCUUGGAACACGACCGAGUGUUCAGAUUACGGAACUCACGAUUCAACCUACCGGAGAAUUAAUGUGAGGAAUAUCUUCAGUAAGAGCCUGUCUAUUAAUGCAUCAACAACUUUACGACAAACAACUUUUCGCUUACGAUAAAGUAAAGAAAUGCAUACUCGAAAUUUAUAGUCAGUAUACUAUCAGGAAACGAAAUACUGACUAUCAGAUAUCGCUGUUGUUUAUCUCCCACGAUGCCUUGUACUUGUACAUGUCGUUCUAAAAAGAUAUACACGACAUUCCGAUUUGUGACAAAUUCAGCUUAUCGCGAAGCAACGUUAUCGGCAAUGCGUUCGCGUGUAAUCGUUGCAUUCAAAUUUCGACGAAGUGGCUGCUACACACACCCAAUAGUUACGUCCUGCUUGUCGUAUGACAAAUACAGCGUUAUUUGGCAUUUAUACAUGAACGAUUGAAAUGCGCGUUUCCUAUACACAAAAUGUGCGUCUCUCAUAUCUACGUUGUGCAUCCGUAUGCGUGCUUCUAAACAUGAAUUUCCGACAAUAACGGCUUACAGCCGUACCGAGCUCGACUGUCAACUAUGGAGGCAUUCGAGUGCGAGCGAUAGUUAAGGUGUCAAACAAGUUCCGUCGUGCUUCGCGCAGUUCGAAGGAAUCGCGUAGCGUUAUCAGGAAAAUCGAUUUUCGCGGCAUGCAUCGGGUGUCGAGUCCUGUCAAAAUCUAAGUGUAUGCCUCGUAUUCUAGUUCUGCGAUUAGAUCUCUUCUCACAGCGUUAUAAUCAGAUAUUAUAUGCUAU
Molecule: RNA transcript, 1646 nt
Organism: Trachymyrmex septentrionalis
Lineage: Eukaryota; Metazoa; Arthropoda; Insecta; Hymenoptera; Formicidae
Gene name: farnesol dehydrogenase-like
Exons: 7
Source: RefSeq, a predicted model, not a curated record